UACGAAGGGAGCUAGCGUUGUUCGGAAUCACUGGCGUAAAGCGCACGUAGGCGGAUGUGUCAGUCAGAGGUGAAAUCCCGGAGCUCAACUUCGGAACUGCCUUUGAUACAGCACGUCUUGAGUCCGAUAGAGGUGGGUGGAAUUCCGUAGUGUAGAGGUGAAAUUCGUCAGAUAUUAGGAAGAACGACCGGUGGCGAAGGCC
Molecule: ribosomal RNA, 202 nt
Filed under: uncultured bacterium
Lineage: Bacteria
Description: partial 16S ribosomal RNA
Rfam family: Bacterial small subunit ribosomal RNA
Source: RNAcentral